UGGGGAAUAUUGGACAAUGGGGGCAACCCUGAUCCAGCAAUGCCGCGUGUGUGAAGAAGGCCUGCGGGUUGUAAAGCACUUUCAGCAGGGAAGAAAAGCUCGGGGUUAAUACCCCCGGGUCUUGACGUUACCUGAAGAAGAAGCACCGGCUAACUCCGUGCCAGCAGCCGCGGUAAUACGGAGGGUGCGAGCGUUAAUCGGAAUUACUGGGCGUAAAGCGCACGUAGGCGGUCGGAUAAGUCGGAUGUGAAAGCCCUGGGCUUAACCUGGGAACUGCAUUCGAUACUGUCUGGCUAGAGUAUGGGAGAGGGAAGCGGAAUUUCCGGUGUAGCGGUGAAAUGCGUAGAUAUCGGAAGGAACACCAAUGGCGAAGGCAGCUUCCUGGCCCAAUACUGACGCU
RNAcentral lists this ribosomal RNA (400 nucleotides) under uncultured bacterium. RNAcentral's name for it is "bacterial SSU rRNA". It matches the Rfam family "Bacterial small subunit ribosomal RNA", at positions 355 to 747 of the family's 1533-position model. The record is from RNAcentral.